UGACAUCCUCUGAAAACCCUAGAGAUAGGGCUUCUCCUUCGGGAGCAGAGUGACAGGUGGUGCAUGGUUGUCGUCAGCUCGUGUCGUGAGAUGUUGGGUUAAGUCCCGCAACGAGCGCAACCCUUGAUCUUAGUUGCCAUCAUUAAGUUGGGCACUCUAAGGUGACUGCCGGUGACAAACCGGAGGAAGGUGGGGAUGACGUCAAAUCAUCAUGCCCCUUAUGACCUGGGCUACACACGUGCUACAAUGGACGGUACAAAGAGCUGCAAGACCGCGAGGUGGAGCUAAUCUCAUAAAACCCGUUUUUCAGUUCGGAUUGUUGGCUGCAACUUGCCUACAUGAAGCUGGAAUCGCUAGUAAUCGCGGAUCAGCAUGCCGCGGUGAAUACGUUCCCGGGCCUUGUACACACCGCCCGUCACACCACGAGAGUUUGUAACACCCGUUUCGGUGGGGUAACCUUUUUGGAGCCAGCCGCCUAAGGUGGGACAGAUGAUUGGGGUGA
This 502-nucleotide ribosomal RNA is filed under the name Bacillus cereus. Its description in RNAcentral is "bacterial SSU rRNA". It matches the Rfam family "Bacterial small subunit ribosomal RNA", at positions 982 to 1483 of the family's 1533-position model. Lineage: Bacteria; Bacillati; Bacillota; Bacilli; Caryophanales; Bacillaceae. The record is from RNAcentral.